RNAcentral lists this long non-coding RNA (234 nucleotides) under Gossypium raimondii (Peruvian cotton). Its description in RNAcentral is "long non-coding RNA (GRAI_LNC009699)". The record is from RNAcentral. Lineage: Eukaryota; Viridiplantae; Streptophyta; Magnoliopsida; Malvales; Malvaceae.
AAGGGUUUUAUUAAAUUAAUUAAAUAUCUAAUGUAUUGCUUUAUACAAUAAAAUUAACAUGUCACUUGAAAUAAGGGCUAAUUUAAACAUAGAUAAAAACAUAGGGGUUUAUUUGGGUACAACUAAACUAGUUCAAGGACUAUCUUAAGAUUUUAACCAUUUGCUGAACAUUGUGCCAUUGGAAGACCUUGACUUUUGUGGGUAAAAUAUACAAAUAAAGAAGACUGUCAUUUC